UAGGAGACGACUCUCUAUGCAAGGCAUGGCUCCAUAUUUCUUUCAUAACCUGGUGCAGCCCUGAUCUGUCUUUGAACUCUGCUCCUCCUGCUUCCCAGUGUUUGCUGGACAGCCCCCGCCCUGGGCACCUGUUUUCUUCACACCCGCCAGCAGGUUGGUAAGCUUCUCAGAUGCAGUGAUGGUGGCCAGGAAGGAACGGUGAAUGAAAUAGUCUAGUGAACGGAGGACACAGACGUCUUGGCCACAGUCUCAGCUUCCCUUGGUAAAAAGCUGCCUCCAAAGGCCUUGUGCAUUGGAGCCUAGAGGCCCCGGGAGCCUUCCCCGAGAGCCCAUCCCGGGCCAUCCCCGGAAAGCACCACACAGGGUAAGAGGAAGAGAACACCCAAACCCUAAGUAGUCCUUC
Molecule: long non-coding RNA, 403 nt
Filed under: Felis catus (domestic cat)
Lineage: Eukaryota; Metazoa; Chordata; Mammalia; Carnivora; Felidae
Description: lncRNA (ENSFCAG00000050620.1)
Source: RNAcentral